RNAcentral lists this transfer RNA (88 nucleotides) under Brevibacterium sp. SMBL_HHYL_HB1. Its description in RNAcentral is "tRNA-Ser". It matches the Rfam family "tRNA". From Rfam's summary of the family: Transfer RNA (tRNA) molecules are approximately 80 nucleotides in length. The record is from RNAcentral. Lineage: Bacteria; Bacillati; Actinomycetota; Actinomycetes; Micrococcales; Brevibacteriaceae. RNAcentral also lists the same sequence under 1 other name.
GGAAGCGUGUCCGAGCGGCCGAAGGAGGCGGUCUUGAAAACCGUUGUGCGGCAACCCCGCACCGUGGGUUCGAAUCCCACCGCUUCCG